This 80-nucleotide transfer RNA is filed under the name Streptobacillus moniliformis DSM 12112. It matches the Rfam family "tRNA". From Rfam's summary of the family: Transfer RNA (tRNA) molecules are approximately 80 nucleotides in length. Lineage: Bacteria; Fusobacteriati; Fusobacteriota; Fusobacteriia; Fusobacteriales; Leptotrichiaceae. The record is from Rfam by way of RNAcentral.
GCGCGAGUGGUGAAAUUGGCAUACACGCUAGACUUAGGAUCUAGUGCUUCGGCGUGUGGGUUCGAGUCCCACCUUGCGCA